Molecule: long non-coding RNA, 531 nt
Organism: Bufo bufo (common toad)
Lineage: Eukaryota; Metazoa; Chordata; Amphibia; Anura; Bufonidae
Exons: 3
Source: RefSeq, a predicted model, not a curated record
UAGAUCGCCUACCAGGGGGAGCGCCUACCGAGGGGAGGCCUUCAGGAUUGUGGGUCUUAAGACUCUUUCACAGUGAGACGACAGGACCGCUGUCUUGUUGGGGUGUACCAUACCUUCUAACCGAUGUGGAACACACCUUUAUUUGGCAUCCAGGAUUUGGAUCAAGGCACCAUAACCACACAGGAUAUAUCUAGUCUGUGACUGGUCUGGAACAGUGCCACAUUCUAUGUGGAUUGGUCGUAGAACGGCACCCCCUGUAUAAACCAUAUGUAGAGCAAUGAAAUGAAUUGAUUGACUAUGUAACCUGGCCGUGAGCCAGUUGGUAUCAAGUUACAUUAGCAUUGUAUAGAUUUUUUGUGUCUUUGUUAUCAUACCUCCUGAUGAUCCCAAAGCACUGUCUAGGAGGAAACGCGUCGAGGUAAUCCAGGUGUUUGACUAUAUGUUCAACCCUGACUAUCUGUUUUUUGUGUUUGUACUGUGUCUCUUUGCAUCCAGUUAAUAGAUGUACCAUCGGUACCUUAUUACCCUCAC